This 159-nucleotide ribosomal RNA is filed under the name uncultured Shewanella sp. RNAcentral's name for it is "partial 16S ribosomal RNA". It matches the Rfam family "Bacterial small subunit ribosomal RNA", at positions 337 to 488 of the family's 1533-position model. Lineage: Bacteria; Pseudomonadati; Pseudomonadota; Gammaproteobacteria; Alteromonadales; Shewanellaceae. The record is from RNAcentral.
UCCUACGGGAGGCAGCAGUGGGGAAUAUUGCACAAUGGGGGAAACCCUGAUGCAGCCAUGCCGCGUGUGUGAAGAAGGCCUUCGGGUUGUAAAGCACUUUCAGUAGGGAGGAAAGGGUGAGUCUUAAUACGGCUCAUCUGUGACGUUACCUACAGAAGA